AUGUCACCAAAAGCAAAAGCUAUUCAUCCAAGGACCUUUUCUCUUGAUCUUGGAAGCGUCUGCCUACCUGCGGAGAUAUGCAUGAUGGAGAGUGGAGGUUUCUUUGUAAAAAGUUAUAGAGAGAGCAGUGACCCUCACCUAGCUAGCACACACACGGACCAAGUGCACAUGCCCACCACACAGCAGCAGCAUACUACUGCUCCUGCGCAUGCAGAUGACGCAACAGCAGGAUGCGGGAGCACACACGCGGGCAGCAAGGUACAUAACCAAGAGAGGGAUGAGCACACAACCUUUGCGCGCUCGCCAUCGAGGAGUUCAGCCGAGGGCAGAGAGAACCUCCUCGCAUUGCCUUCAGCGCUAACCUACCCGAGGCGACAGUUUCCCUGA
RNAcentral lists this ribosomal RNA (387 nucleotides) under Triticum aestivum (bread wheat). Its description in RNAcentral is "partial small subunit ribosomal RNA". The record is from RNAcentral. Lineage: Eukaryota; Viridiplantae; Streptophyta; Magnoliopsida; Poales; Poaceae.